This 99-nucleotide transfer RNA is filed under the name Candidatus Bathyarchaeota archaeon. Its description in RNAcentral is "tRNA-Ser". It matches the Rfam family "tRNA", at positions 10 to 71 of the family's 71-position model. From Rfam's summary of the family: Transfer RNA (tRNA) molecules are approximately 80 nucleotides in length. Their secondary structure includes four short double-helical elements and three loops (D, anti-codon, and T loops). Lineage: Archaea; Thermoproteati; Candidatus Bathyarchaeota. The record is from RNAcentral.
GCCGAGUGGAUUAGCCGCGAGUGUGGGUCUAGAGGCGCAGGCCUUGAGAGCCUGUGGCCCUUACGGGCCGCGUGGGUUCGAAUCCCACUCCCGGCGCCA